RNAcentral lists this ribosomal RNA (357 nucleotides) under uncultured bacterium. RNAcentral's name for it is "bacterial SSU rRNA". It matches the Rfam family "Bacterial small subunit ribosomal RNA", at positions 158 to 507 of the family's 1533-position model. The record is from RNAcentral.
GGACGCUAAUACCGCAUACGUCCUACGGGAGAAAGCGGGGGAUCUUCGGACCUCGCGCCAUUAGAUGAGCCUAGGUCGGAUUAGCUAGUUGGUGAGGUAAUGGGCUCACCCAAGGCGACGAUCCGUAACUGGUCUGAGAGGAUGAUCAGUCACACUGGGACUGAGACCACGGCCCAGACUCCUACGGGAGGCAGCAGUGGGGAAUAUUGGACAAUGGGCGAAAGCCUGAUCCAGCCAUGCCGCGUGUGUGAAGAAGGUCUUCGGAUUGUAAAGCACUUUAAGUUGGGAGGAAGGGUAGUAACCUAAUACGUUGCUACUUUGACGUUACCGACAGAAUAAGCACCGGCUAACUUCGUG